This 253-nucleotide ribosomal RNA is filed under the name uncultured bacterium. RNAcentral's name for it is "partial 16S ribosomal RNA". It matches the Rfam family "Bacterial small subunit ribosomal RNA", at positions 524 to 776 of the family's 1533-position model. The record is from RNAcentral.
UACAGAGGUCUCAAGCGUUGUUCGGAAUUACUGGGCGUAAAGCGUGUGUAGGCGGUGCUCUAAGUUCGGUGUGAAAUCUCCUGGCUUAACUGGGAGGGUGCGCCGGAAACUGGAGUGCUCGAACGUGGGAGAGGAAAGCGGAAUUCCUGGUGUAGCGGUGAAAUGCGUAGAUAUCAGGAGGAACACCUGCGGUGUAGACGGCUUUCUGGACCAUUGUUGACGCUGAGACACGAAAGCGUGGGUAGCAAACAGG